Molecule: unclassified non-coding RNA, 269 nt
Organism: Cebus imitator (Panamanian white-faced capuchin)
Lineage: Eukaryota; Metazoa; Chordata; Mammalia; Primates; Cebidae
Rfam family: Metazoan signal recognition particle RNA
About the family: The signal recognition particle (SRP) is a universally conserved ribonucleoprotein.
Source: Ensembl
GCAGGGUGUGGUGGUGCACACCUAUCAUCCCAGCCACUCAGGAGGCUGAGGCGAAAGGGAGUUCUGGGCUAUGGUGCACUAUGCCAAUUGGGUGUCCGCACUAACUUUGGCAUCAUUGUGAUGACCUCCUGGGAGCCAAGGACCACCAGGUUGCCUAAGGAGGGGUGAACUGGCCCAGGUUGAAAACAGAGCAGAUCAGAAUUCCCAUGCUUAUUAAUAAUGGGAUCACACCUGUGAAUAGCCACGACACUUCAGCCUGGGCAACACAA